The sequence is an unclassified non-coding RNA, 299 nucleotides long. It matches the Rfam family "Metazoan signal recognition particle RNA". Rfam says of the family: The signal recognition particle (SRP) is a universally conserved ribonucleoprotein. It is involved in the co-translational targeting of proteins to membranes. The record is from Ensembl.
GCCGGGCGCAGUGGCGUGCGCCUGUAAUCCAAGCUACUGGGAGGCUGAGGCUGGCGGAUCGUUUGAGCUCAGGGGUUCUGGGCUGCAGUGCACUAUGCCGAUCGGGUGUCCGCACUAAGUUCGGUAUCGAUAUGGUGCUCCUGAGGGAGCUCGGGACCACCAGGUCGCCUAAGGAGGGGUGAACCGGCCCAGGUCGGUGACGGAGCAGGUCAAAGCCCCCGUGCCGAUCAGUAGUGGGAUCGCGCCUGUGAAUAGACGCUGCAGUGCAGCCUGAGCAAGACAGCGGGACCUAGUCUUUU